AGCCGCGCGCCGCCCUCCCCCGGCGCCCCGCAGUGGGCAGGAGGCCGAGCCUGGCAGCCCCUCCCGGCCCAGCAGCCAGCAAGCUGGGCCAGGAGGCCGAAACCCGGUGGGAGGGGCCGAGGAGGGGGCUACUUAUUUUCCUAGGAAUGAGAGCUGACUUGCCCCUAUGUCCCUCUCCAUCUGGGGGAGGGAGAUAAUGGGAGGGCUCUGUCGUCCUCUGUCCAUACGCGGAGCCCCUUCCCCCUCUCCCCAACAGGCCUGGAAAUCAUGCACAGGUUCUGGUCUGGGAGAGACCUUCACUGGCCAAGGGACAUCUCUGAUCUAAGUCCUGGCUGUGAAAAUGACACAAUGAUCCAGCUUGGAGGGGCUGUUGAGAGGGGCACUGUGGCCCUGUUGGGAACGUGUCAUCCUAUUCCAGGGUAUGAGUGCAAGUCCAGUGACUUCAUUAGUCACCCAAUAUCCACCAGCAUCCCUUCUUCUCAUAGAUAAUGCCUAUGUUCCCAGAACCUGUUAUGACCCUCCAAGUCAUACCAUAUCCCCAAACCCCCUCAGUGCUUUCUGCUGCGGACUCUGACCCCUCAGGUCCAAUACAGUGCCCCUGGUACUUACCCAGAUUGAACCCAGGACCUCGCGCAUGCUGGGGAAAGGUGACCACCACCUAAAGACACUCCUUGGGCCUCUUCUUCUAAACUGACACCAACGUGUGUGCUGGAGUGAGAGGCAAAAGCAAGAGCCUGGCCAGGCACCCAGGAGCAAGGCAAGCCCGGGUCCCCAGGCAGGGGAAUCAGAGCAAGUGAAGGCUGCAGCCCUGAUCAUCCCAAGACCCCACGCAAGAUCCAGGUGCCUCCCCCACACCAUCAAUUCAUGUGGAUGGCCUGAGAUUCACUGCAGUCCUCACUGCAAGGUGGCAGUGACCCUUUAAGUCACCAAGAUGGUUGGAGGACUGGGUACAUUUCCCUGGACUGGUGAGAUUGAGUCCUGAGACUUGCUCGUGUGUUGGGAUGGGUAGGGCGUCUUCCUUCAGAGCUGGAGGUAAACUCAGCUACCUGGAUGCUGCGUUGGAAGAACCUGCCUGGAAAGGAAGCCAGGGCACUGGAACAAAGGGCUAUAGAUCCGAGGACGGAAGCUGCCUCUCCUCCCAGGCUUGACUUUUCAUUUACUUGAGCCCCUCUUCAAGGAAGGCAGUUUGACUUGGGCUUCUGUCUCUUGCCGCCCCUUACACUGUAGCCCCUGAUCCCGAGCUCCUGAAUCAGGGAAUGAGCCAGGGGUGGGAAAGGCCUGUCGGGGUGUGUGGGCUGGAUGGCCUGUGGUAGCUCCAAGUGAAGGGGACUGAGGGCACUCCCUUAUCCAUCUGGGAUGGAAGCUGGCAUGGAAACAGACCUGCCUCCUUGAGGGCUCCCAAGUUAUCAGGGGAGGAUGUGGAAACUAAAGGGGCCAAGACAGAUGGAAAGAUCCUGCUACUCCAGAGCAGCAAGGGAAGCUAAGAUGGAUUCUGCCCAAGCUUGGGGUGGGAGGUAGGAUCAGGAAAUCUCUCCCCAUCCGUCAAUGCAGGGCAAGAGCCCAGUUAAAGUGGAGUGUGGGCUCUGCCACAUGCUAGAAGAGAGUUCUGGGGUAAGUCACUUAAGUUUUAGCAAACAAUAGUGUCCCUAAACAUAAAACAGGAUGAAUAAUGUCCACCUCAUAGAGUUAUUUUAAGGACAGAAUGGGAUAAGCGGGUCGAGAAUUGAGCAUGGGCCCGGCCCACAGGUUUAGUAAGUCAGUGCCUAUUACCUUGCGCAGGUGUUCCGCCUGGCCAGGGAUUCUGUUGGUACAGGUGCAGUUACUGUCGUCACCAGGAGGUGGCGCCCCGGCCCCAAAAGAGCCUUAUUUGCUCGACUUUUUGCGGGGCUCUGUGAAAGGUUUGGGCGGGGUCGCCUCUUGGAUCUCAGUCCGUUAGACCCCUACCUUCCCGGGCGUGGUGGGGCGAAGUGCUUGUACUCCCCUCAGUUAUCUAUGGUCGCUGGCUCCUGGAAGGGGAGACCUCGGUCACCAUGGGACAGUCAGAGGAGCCUUCGUUUUCCAUCCGUGUUAUGUAAGAGCACAACCUUCAGGGAGCGCCGGGGCAAAGUUUAGGGUGCUUUGCUCAGGGUGGACGAGAAGAAGGACUUCCUGAAGGAGCGAGCAUCACAACACGGAGGCUGGAGCGCGGGAGCGUCUGAGCCUGGUGCUGAGGCAGGGGGAUGACCCAUCUGACCUUUCUCAGUGCAAGGGAGCCGGGCUGCCCCUCGCGGUGGACCUCCGGCAGUGGAUGGCCCCUUGAUGCGGUCACUGGUAAUUCUAAGAUCUGCCAGCAGAGGGACACAGAGAGACGCCCGCGCCGAUCCGCUCUCCUCCCCGCCUGAGCUAGCCCUCCCGGGAAACUUCCCUGCUUGGCAGAGCCUGCCUGGGCGAGACCCAACGUGUCAGGUGUCCUUAAGCUCUGGAAGAAGACUUGCCCUUCUUCCUCCUGCUGGGCUUCUUGGGGAGAGCAUUUUAGGUGAGGGGAGGGUCAGCUCCCAUCCUAACUCAGCCCUGGCCCAGCUGAGCUCCACCCUAAGUAGGACUUGCUGGCCAUUCCAGUCUAGAAACUCAGAAAUCCUAGGACAGGUGGGACUACCUCCCAGAGGCAGGGGUUUGGGAGGGGGCCCCCUGCCACCCUGGCCUGGAUCGCCAGCUGGACCUCAGGAAGUAGGGGGUGCCCACCCCAUACCACCUUGGCUAGUUCCCGGCAUUCUCCUGGACAGGCUCCCAGAGGCCCACAAAGGCCCUCAGAUGAAGUUCUGAGCCUUGCAUUGCUGUGCCCUGGGCCAGCGUCCUGCUGGCUCUAGGCACCGCAAGUCCCUGGCACUCCCUGUAGAGCUUUGUCCACCAGCCCUGAACCAGGGCCGGUGGGGCCAUGUUUGCUGGGGGAGGAGUAGUCAGGCAUCCCUCAGAGCUGGGGCAGUCUCCCUUCUGUCCUGCCUGUGGCUUUGCUGUCUUCCAGAUGACCAGCCCCUCAUUUCUCACUUGCUGGCCCUCACCACCAGGGUGAUCUGGAGGAAAUGGUCUUUCCUCCUCACAUGCCCUCCUAGCUGACCCAGGAGUCAGUGGUGGGUAAUGUCCUCAUUUGUAGACAAUACCAUGAGGCUCCAAGGACUCCCUGUGGCCUGUGGCUCCCUGCAGAAGUUUCUGACAGCACGACUUUCUUACUGCAGCCCUGAUGCCUACUGUAUGCUGGCCCUGGGCUCCAGUGGAUCUGUACACUCAGGAGUGAGAAGGGCUCCUGCCUUCAUGAAGCAUCCGUGUGGUGUUAUAUGGGCUUUGGAGAGGAAGCCAAGGCACUGCAUGGCCCUGCAGGGCUGUCCGCCCAGCAAGGGACACUUCCUCAGAGAGGUCUUCCUUGACCAGCUAUCAAACAGCCCCUCUGACUAGGUGCUGUCACACCUUCAUGUUUUGUUUGUUUCAAAACCCUUUUGGGAUCUGUAUUCAUCUUCCUUACCUGUGGAUGGUUCAUUAUCUAAGUACCUUCUGCAUACCAGGUUCAUUAUCUAAGUACCUUCUGCAUACCAGGCACAGCUGUAGCCCCUAGGUGACACGGAAGUGAAAGAACAAAUUUCUUAUCCUCGAGGGCUAGGGCUGUAGCUCAGUUGUAGAGCACUUGCCUGGCACCUGUGAG
Non-coding RNA from Ictidomys tridecemlineatus (thirteen-lined ground squirrel), 3673 nucleotides. The record is from RefSeq and is a predicted model, not a curated record. NCBI's taxonomy places the organism in Eukaryota, Metazoa, Chordata, Mammalia, Rodentia, Sciuridae.